GUGUCAGCAGCCGCGGUAAUACGGGGGGGGCAAGCGUUGUUCGGAAUUACUGGGCGUAAAGGGCUCGUAGGCGGCCAACUAAGUCAGACGUGAAAUCCCUCGGCUUAACCGGGGAACUGCGUCUGAUACUGGAUGGCUAGAGGUUGGGAGAGGGAUGCGGAAUUCCAGGUGUAGCGGUGAAAUGCGUAGAUAUCUGGAGGAACACCGGUGGCGAAGGCGGCAUCCUGGACCAAUUCUGACGCUGAGGAGCGAAAGCCAGGGGAGCAAACGGGAUUAGAAACCCCUGUAGUCC
Molecule: ribosomal RNA, 292 nt
Filed under: uncultured bacterium
Lineage: Bacteria
Description: partial 16S ribosomal RNA
Rfam family: Bacterial small subunit ribosomal RNA
Source: RNAcentral